GCCCUUGUAGUAUAAGCAAAUACACCAGUCUUGUAAACUGGAAAUGGACCCCCUCCCCAGGGCA
Molecule: transfer RNA, 64 nt
Filed under: Presbytis femoralis percura
Lineage: Eukaryota; Metazoa; Chordata; Mammalia; Primates; Cercopithecidae
Description: tRNA-Thr
Rfam family: tRNA
About the family: Transfer RNA (tRNA) molecules are approximately 80 nucleotides in length. Their secondary structure includes four short double-helical elements and three loops (D, anti-codon, and T loops). Further hydrogen bonds mediate the characteristic L-shaped molecular structure. tRNAs have two regions of fundamental functional importance: the anti-codon, which is responsible for specific mRNA codon recognition, and the 3' end, to which the tRNAs corresponding amino acid is attached (by aminoacyl-tRNA synthetases). tRNAs cope with the degeneracy of the genetic code in two manners: having more than one tRNA (with a specific anti-codon) for a particular amino acid; and 'wobble' base-pairing, i.e. permitting non-standard base-pairing at the 3rd anti-codon position.
Source: RNAcentral